This 253-nucleotide ribosomal RNA is filed under the name uncultured bacterium. Its description in RNAcentral is "partial 16S ribosomal RNA". It matches the Rfam family "Bacterial small subunit ribosomal RNA", at positions 524 to 776 of the family's 1533-position model. The record is from RNAcentral.
UACGUAGGGGGCAAGCGUUGUCCGGAUUUAUUGGGCGUAAAGAGCGUGUAGGCGGCCAUACAGGUCCGUUGUGAAAACUGGAGGCUUAACCUCCAGACGUCGAUGGAAACCGUAUGGCUAGAGUCCGGAAGAGGAGAGUGGAAUUCCGGGUGUAGUGGUGAAAUGCGUAGAGAUCCGGAGGAACACCAGUGGCGAAGGCGACACGCUGGGCCGUACCUGACACUGAUGCGCGACAGCAUGGGGAGCAAACAGG